Molecule: long non-coding RNA, 7285 nt
Filed under: Homo sapiens (human)
Lineage: Eukaryota; Metazoa; Chordata; Mammalia; Primates; Hominidae
Source: RNAcentral
CCAGCGCAGGGGCUUCUGCUGAGGGGGCAGGCGGAGCUUGAGGAAACCGCAGAUAAGUUUUUUUCUCUUUGAAAGAUAGAGAUUAAUACAACUACUUAAAAAAUAUAGUCAAUAGGUUACUAAGAUAUUGCUUAGCGUUAAGUUUUUAACGUAAUUUUAAUAGCUUAAGAUUUUAAGAGAAAAUAUGAAGACUUAGAAGAGUAGCAUGAGGAAGGAAAAGAUAAAAGGUUUCUAAAACAUGACGGAGGUUGAGAUGAAGCUUCUUCAUGGAGUAAAAAAUGUAUUUAAAAGAAAAUUGAGAGAAAGGACUACAGAGCCCCGAAUUAAUACCAAUAGAAGGGCAAUGCUUUUAGAUUAAAAUGAAGGUGACUUAAACAGCUUAAAGUUUAGUUUAAAAGUUGUAGGUGAUUAAAAUAAUUUGAAGGCGAUCUUUUAAAAAGAGAUUAAACCGAAGGUGAUUAAAAGACCUUGAAAUCCAUGACGCAGGGAGAAUUGCGUCAUUUAAAGCCUAGUUAACGCAUUUACUAAACGCAGACGAAAAUGGAAAGAUUAAUUGGGAGUGGUAGGAUGAAACAAUUUGGAGAAGAUAGAAGUUUGAAGUGGAAAACUGGAAGACAGAAGUACGGGAAGGCGAAGAAAAGAAUAGAGAAGAUAGGGAAAUUAGAAGAUAAAAACAUACUUUUAGAAGAAAAAAGAUAAAUUUAAACCUGAAAAGUAGGAAGCAGAAGAAAAAAGACAAGCUAGGAAACAAAAAGCUAAGGGCAAAAUGUACAAACUUAGAAGAAAAUUGGAAGAUAGAAACAAGAUAGAAAAUGAAAAUAUUGUCAAGAGUUUCAGAUAGAAAAUGAAAAACAAGCUAAGACAAGUAUUGGAGAAGUAUAGAAGAUAGAAAAAUAUAAAGCCAAAAAUUGGAUAAAAUAGCACUGAAAAAAUGAGGAAAUUAUUGGUAACCAAUUUAUUUUAAAAGCCCAUCAAUUUAAUUUCUGGUGGUGCAGAAGUUAGAAGGUAAAGCUUGAGAAGAUGAGGGUGUUUACGUAGACCAGAACCAAUUUAGAAGAAUACUUGAAGCUAGAAGGGGAAGUUGGUUAAAAAUCACAUCAAAAAGCUACUAAAAGGACUGGUGUAAUUUAAAAAAAACUAAGGCAGAAGGCUUUUGGAAGAGUUAGAAGAAUUUGGAAGGCCUUAAAUAUAGUAGCUUAGUUUGAAAAAUGUGAAGGACUUUCGUAACGGAAGUAAUUCAAGAUCAAGAGUAAUUACCAACUUAAUGUUUUUGCAUUGGACUUUGAGUUAAGAUUAUUUUUUAAAUCCUGAGGACUAGCAUUAAUUGACAGCUGACCCAGGUGCUACACAGAAGUGGAUUCAGUGAAUCUAGGAAGACAGCAGCAGACAGGAUUCCAGGAACCAGUGUUUGAUGAAGCUAGGACUGAGGAGCAAGCGAGCAAGCAGCAGUUCGUGGUGAAGAUAGGAAAAGAGUCCAGGAGCCAGUGCGAUUUGGUGAAGGAAGCUAGGAAGAAGGAAGGAGCGCUAACGAUUUGGUGGUGAAGCUAGGAAAAAGGAUUCCAGGAAGGAGCGAGUGCAAUUUGGUGAUGAAGGUAGCAGGCGGCUUGGCUUGGCAACCACACGGAGGAGGCGAGCAGGCGUUGUGCGUAGAGGAUCCUAGACCAGCAUGCCAGUGUGCCAAGGCCACAGGGAAAGCGAGUGGUUGGUAAAAAUCCGUGAGGUCGGCAAUAUGUUGUUUUUCUGGAACUUACUUAUGGUAACCUUUUAUUUAUUUUCUAAUAUAAUGGGGGAGUUUCGUACUGAGGUGUAAAGGGAUUUAUAUGGGGACGUAGGCCGAUUUCCGGGUGUUGUAGGUUUCUCUUUUUCAGGCUUAUACUCAUGAAUCUUGUCUGAAGCUUUUGAGGGCAGACUGCCAAGUCCUGGAGAAAUAGUAGAUGGCAAGUUUGUGGGUUUUUUUUUUUUACACGAAUUUGAGGAAAACCAAAUGAAUUUGAUAGCCAAAUUGAGACAAUUUCAGCAAAUCUGUAAGCAGUUUGUAUGUUUAGUUGGGGUAAUGAAGUAUUUCAGUUUUGUGAAUAGAUGACCUGUUUUUACUUCCUCACCCUGAAUUCGUUUUGUAAAUGUAGAGUUUGGAUGUGUAACUGAGGCGGGGGGGAGUUUUCAGUAUUUUUUUUUGUGGGGGUGGGGGCAAAAUAUGUUUUCAGUUCUUUUUCCCUUAGGUCUGUCUAGAAUCCUAAAGGCAAAUGACUCAAGGUGUAACAGAAAACAAGAAAAUCCAAUAUCAGGAUAAUCAGACCACCACAGGUUUACAGUUUAUAGAAACUAGAGCAGUUCUCACGUUGAGGUCUGUGGAAGAGAUGUCCAUUGGAGAAAUGGCUGGUAGUUACUCUUUUUUCCCCCCACCCCCUUAAUCAGACUUUAAAAGUGCUUAACCCCUUAAACUUGUUAUUUUUUACUUGAAGCAUUUUGGGAUGGUCUUAACAGGGAAGAGAGAGGGUGGGGGAGAAAAUGUUUUUUUCUAAGAUUUUCCACAGAUGCUAUAGUACUAUUGACAAACUGGGUUAGAGAAGGAGUGUACCGCUGUGCUGUUGGCACGAACACCUUCAGGGACUGGAGCUGCUUUUAUCCUUGGAAGAGUAUUCCCAGUUGAAGCUGAAAAGUACAGCACAGUGCAGCUUUGGUUCAUAUUCAGUCAUCUCAGGAGAACUUCAGAAGAGCUUGAGUAGGCCAAAUGUUGAAGUUAAGUUUUCCAAUAAUGUGACUUCUUAAAAGUUUUAUUAAAGGGGAGGGGCAAAUAUUGGCAAUUAGUUGGCAGUGGCCUGUUACGGUUGGGAUUGGUGGGGUGGGUUUAGGUAAUUGUUUAGUUUAUGAUUGCAGAUAAACUCAUGCCAGAGAACUUAAAGUCUUAGAAUGGAAAAAGUAAAGAAAUAUCAACUUCCAAGUUGGCAAGUAACUCCCAAUGAUUUAGUUUUUUUCCCCCCAGUUUGAAUUGGGAAGCUGGGGGAAGUUAAAUAUGAGCCACUGGGUGUACCAGUGCAUUAAUUUGGGCAAGGAAAGUGUCAUAAUUUGAUACUGUAUCUGUUUUCCUUCAAAGUAUAGAGCUUUUGGGGAAGGAAAGUAUUGAACUGGGGGUUGGUCUGGCCUACUGGGCUGACAUUAACUACAAUUAUGGGAAAUGCAAAAGUUGUUUGGAUAUGGUAGUGUGUGGUUCUCUUUUGGAAUUUUUUUCAGGUGAUUUAAUAAUAAUUUAAAACUACUAUAGAAACUGCAGAGCAAAGGAAGUGGCUUAAUGAUCCUGAAGGGAUUUCUUCUGAUGGUAGCUUUUGUAUUAUCAAGUAAGAUUCUAUUUUCAGUUGUGUGUAAGCAAGUUUUUUUUUAGUGUAGGAGAAAUACUUUUCCAUUGUUUAACUGCAAAACAAGAUGUUAAGGUAUGCUUCAAAAAUUUUGUAAAUUGUUUAUUUUAAACUUAUCUGUUUGUAAAUUGUAACUGAUUAAGAAUUGUGAUAGUUCAGCUUGAAUGUCUCUUAGAGGGUGGGCUUUUGUUGAUGAGGGAGGGGAAACUUUUUUUUUUUCUAUAGACUUUUUUCAGAUAACAUCUUCUGAGUCAUAACCAGCCUGGCAGUAUGAUGGCCUAGAUGCAGAGAAAACAGCUCCUUGGUGAAUUGAUAAGUAAAGGCAGAAAAGAUUAUAUGUCAUACCUCCAUUGGGGAAUAAGCAUAACCCUGAGAUUCUUACUACUGAUGAGAACAUUAUCUGCAUAUGCCAAAAAAUUUUAAGCAAAUGAAAGCUACCAAUUUAAAGUUACGGAAUCUACCAUUUUAAAGUUAAUUGCUUGUCAAGCUAUAACCACAAAAAUAAUGAAUUGAUGAGAAAUACAAUGAAGAGGCAAUGUCCAUCUCAAAAUACUGCUUUUACAAAAGCAGAAUAAAAGCGAAAAGAAAUGAAAAUGUUACACUACAUUAAUCCUGGAAUAAAAGAAGCCGAAAUAAAUGAGAGAUGAGUUGGGAUCAAGUGGAUUGAGGAGGCUGUGCUGUGUGCCAAUGUUUCGUUUGCCUCAGACAGGUAUCUCUUCGUUAUCAGAAGAGUUGCUUCAUUUCAUCUGGGAGCAGAAAACAGCAGGCAGCUGUUAACAGAUAAGUUUAACUUGCAUCUGCAGUAUUGCAUGUUAGGGAUAAGUGCUUAUUUUUAAGAGCUGUGGAGUUCUUAAAUAUCAACCAUGGCACUUUCUCCUGACCCCUUCCCUAGGGGAUUUCAGGAUUGAGAAAUUUUUCCAUCGAGCCUUUUUAAAAUUGUAGGACUUGUUCCUGUGGGCUUCAGUGAUGGGAUAGUACACUUCACUCAGAGGCAUUUGCAUCUUUAAAUAAUUUCUUAAAAGCCUCUAAAGUGAUCAGUGCCUUGAUGCCAACUAAGGAAAUUUGUUUAGCAUUGAAUCUCUGAAGGCUCUAUGAAAGGAAUAGCAUGAUGUGCUGUUAGAAUCAGAUGUUACUGCUAAAAUUUACAUGUUGUGAUGUAAAUUGUGUAGAAAACCAUUAAAUCAUUCAAAAUAAUAAACUAUUUUUAUUAGAGAAUGUAUACUUUUAGAAAGCUGUCUCCUUAUUUAAAUAAAAUAGUGUUUGUCUGUAGUUCAGUGUUGGGGCAAUCUUGGGGGGGAUUCUUCUCUAAUCUUUCAGAAACUUUGUCUGCGAACACUCUUUAAUGGACCAGAUCAGGAUUUGAGCGGAAGAACGAAUGUAACUUUAAGGCAGGAAAGACAAAUUUUAUUCUUCAUAAAGUGAUGAGCAUAUAAUAAUUCCAGGCACAUGGCAAUAGAGGCCCUCUAAAUAAGGAAUAAAUAACCUCUUAGACAGGUGGGAGAUUAUGAUCAGAGUAAAAGGUAAUUACACAUUUUAUUUCCAGAAAGUCAGGGGUCUAUAAAUUGACAGUGAUUAGAGUAAUACUUUUUCACAUUUCCAAAGUUUGCAUGUUAACUUUAAAUGCUUACAAUCUUAGAGUGGUAGGCAAUGUUUUACACUAUUGACCUUAUAUAGGGAAGGGAGGGGGUGCCUGUGGGGUUUUAAAGAAUUUUCCUUUGCAGAGGCAUUUCAUCCUUCAUGAAGCCAUUCAGGAUUUUGAAUUGCAUAUGAGUGCUUGGCUCUUCCUUCUGUUCUAACUUCACAGAGAAUGCAGUUGUCUUGACUUCAGGUCUGUCUGUUCUGUUGGCAAGUAAAUGCAGUACUGUUCUGAUCCCGCUGCUAUUAGAAUGCAUUGUGAAACGACUGGAGUAUGAUUAAAAGUUGUGUUCCCCAAUGCUUGGAGUAGUGAUUGUUGAAGGAAAAAAUCCAGCUGAGUGAUAAAGGCUGAGUGUUGAGGAAAUUUCUGCAGUUUUAAGCAGUCGUAUUUGUGAUUGAAGCUGAGUACAUUUUGCUGGUGUAUUUUUAGGUAAAAUGCUUUUUGUUCAUUUCUGGUGGUGGGAGGGGACUGAAGCCUUUAGUCUUUUCCAGAUGCAACCUUAAAAUCAGUGACAAGAAACAUUCCAAACAAGCAACAGUCUUCAAGAAAUUAAACUGGCAAGUGGAAAUGUUUAAACAGUUCAGUGAUCUUUAGUGCAUUGUUUAUGUGUGGGUUUCUCUCUCCCCUCCCUUGGUCUUAAUUCUUACAUGCAGGAACACUCAGCAGACACACGUAUGCGAAGGGCCAGAGAAGCCAGACCCAGUAAGAAAAAAUAGCCUAUUUACUUUAAAUAAACCAAACAUUCCAUUUUAAAUGUGGGGAUUGGGAACCACUAGUUCUUUCAGAUGGUAUUCUUCAGACUAUAGAAGGAGCUUCCAGUUGAAUUCACCAGUGGACAAAAUGAGGAAAACAGGUGAACAAGCUUUUUCUGUAUUUACAUACAAAGUCAGAUCAGUUAUGGGACAAUAGUAUUGAAUAGAUUUCAGCUUUAUGCUGGAGUAACUGGCAUGUGAGCAAACUGUGUUGGCGUGGGGGUGGAGGGGUGAGGUGGGCGCUAAGCCUUUUUUUAAGAUUUUUCAGGUACCCCUCACUAAAGGCACCGAAGGCUUAAAGUAGGACAACCAUGGAGCCUUCCUGUGGCAGGAGAGACAACAAAGCGCUAUUAUCCUAAGGUCAAGAGAAGUGUCAGCCUCACCUGAUUUUUAUUAGUAAUGAGGACUUGCCUCAACUCCCUCUUUCUGGAGUGAAGCAUCCGAAGGAAUGCUUGAAGUACCCCUGGGCUUCUCUUAACAUUUAAGCAAGCUGUUUUUAUAGCAGCUCUUAAUAAUAAAGCCCAAAUCUCAAGCGGUGCUUGAAGGGGAGGGAAAGGGGGAAAGCGGGCAACCACUUUUCCCUAGCUUUUCCAGAAGCCUGUUAAAAGCAAGGUCUCCCCACAAGCAACUUCUCUGCCACAUCGCCACCCCGUGCCUUUUGAUCUAGCACAGACCCUUCACCCCUCACCUCGAUGCAGCCAGUAGCUUGGAUCCUUGUGGGCAUGAUCCAUAAUCGGUUUCAAGGUAACGAUGGUGUCGAGGUCUUUGGUGGGUUGAACUAUGUUAGAAAAGGCCAUUAAUUUGCCUGCAAAUUGUUAACAGAAGGGUAUUAAAACCACAGCUAAGUAGCUCUAUUAUAAUACUUAUCCAGUGACUAAAACCAACUUAAACCAGUAAGUGGAGAAAUAACAUGUUCAAGAACUGUAAUGCUGGGUGGGAACAUGUAACUUGUAGACUGGAGAAGAUAGGCAUUUGAGUGGCUGAGAGGGCUUUUGGGUGGGAAUGCAAAAAUUCUCUGCUAAGACUUUUUCAGGUGAACAUAACAGACUUGGCCAAGCUAGCAUCUUAGCGGAAGCUGAUCUCCAAUGCUCUUCAGUAGGGUCAUGAAGGUUUUUCUUUUCCUGAGAAAACAACACGUAUUGUUUUCUCAGGUUUUGCUUUUUGGCCUUUUUCUAGCUUAAAAAAAAAAAAAGCAAAAGAUGCUGGUGGUUGGCACUCCUGGUUUCCAGGACGGGGUUCAAAUCCCUGCGGCGUCUUUGCUUUGACUACUAAUCUGUCUUCAGGACUCUUUCUGUAUUUCUCCUUUUCUCUGCAGGUGCUAGUUCUUGGAGUUUUGGGGAGGUGGGAGGUAACAGCACAAUAUCUUUGAACUAUAUACAUCCUUGAUGUAUAAUUUGUCAGGAGCUUGACUUGAUUGUAUAUUCAUAUUUACACGAGAACCUAAUAUAACUGCCUUGUCUUUUUCAGGUAAUAGCCUGCAGCUGGUGUUUUGAGAAGCCCUACUGCUGAAAACUUAACAAUUUUGUGUAAUAAAAAUGGAGAAG